This 399-nucleotide ribosomal RNA is filed under the name uncultured bacterium. RNAcentral's name for it is "bacterial SSU rRNA". It matches the Rfam family "Bacterial small subunit ribosomal RNA", at positions 32 to 409 of the family's 1533-position model. The record is from RNAcentral.
AAUCAACGCUGGCGGCGUGCCUCAGACAUGCAAGUCGAACGCGAAAGUCCCCUUCGGGGGACAAGUAGAGUGGCGCACGGGUGAGUAACACGUAGGUAAUCCACCUUCGGAUGGGGAAUAACAACCGGAAACGGUUAGCUAAUACCGCAUAAUGCAGCGGCACCUAAUGGUGACAGUUGUUAAAGCGGGGGAGUCGAAAGACCUCGCGUCUGAAGAGGAGCCUGCGGCGGAUUAGCAGUUGGUAAGGUAACGGCUUACCAAGGCGACGAUCCGUAGCCGGCCUGAGAGGGCGGUCGGCCACACUGAUACUGACAUACGGGUCAGACUCCUACGGGAGGCAGCAGUCGGGAAUUUUGGGCAAUGGGCGAAAGCCUGAUCCAGCAACGCCGCGUGAAGGAU